GCGGAAGGCCCUUCGGGGUACUCGAGCGGCGAACGGGUGAGUAACACGUGAGCAACCUGCCCCUGACUCUGGGAUAAGCCCGGGAAACUGGGUCUAAUACCGGAUACGACCGCCUCCGGCAUCGGAUGGUGGUGGAAAGUUUUUCGGUCGGGGAUGGGCUCGCGGCCUAUCAGCUUGUUGGUGGGGUAGUGGCCUACCAAGGCGACGACGGGUAGCCGGCCUGAGAGGGCGACCGGCCACACUGGGACUGAGACACGGCCCAGACUCCUACGGGAGGCAGCAGUGGGGAAUAUUGCGCAAUGGGCGGAAGCCUGACGCAGCGACGCCGCGUGGGGGAUGACGGCCUUCGGGUUGUAAACCUCUUUCAGCAGGGACGAAAUUGACGUGUACCUGCAGAAGAAGCGCCGGCUAACUACGUGCCAGCAGCCGCGGUAAUACGUAGGGCGCAAGCGUUGUCCGGAAUUAUUGGGCGUAAAGAGCUCGUAGGUGGCUGGUCGCGUCUGCCGUGAAAGCCCGCAGCUUAACUGCGGGUCUGCGGUGGAUACGGGCCGGCUAGAGGUAGGUAGGGGCAAGUGGAAUUCCUGGUGUAGCGGUGAAAUGCGCAGAUAUCAGGAGGAACACCGGUGGCGAAGGCGGCUUGCUGGGCCUUACCUGACGCUGAGGAGCGAAAGCGUGGGGAGCGAACAGGAUUAGAUACCCUGGUAGUCCACGCUGUAAACGUUGGGCGCUAGGUGUGGGGAUCUUCCACGAUCUCCGUGCCGGAGCUAACGCAUUAAGCGCCCCGCCUGGGGAGUAC
This 796-nucleotide ribosomal RNA is filed under the name Nonomuraea sp. RNAcentral describes it as "bacterial SSU rRNA". It matches the Rfam family "Bacterial small subunit ribosomal RNA", at positions 66 to 883 of the family's 1533-position model. The record is from RNAcentral. Lineage: Bacteria; Bacillati; Actinomycetota; Actinomycetes; Streptosporangiales; Streptosporangiaceae.